RNAcentral lists this ribosomal RNA (480 nucleotides) under uncultured Desulfobulbus sp. RNAcentral's name for it is "bacterial SSU rRNA". It matches the Rfam family "Bacterial small subunit ribosomal RNA", at positions 906 to 1382 of the family's 1533-position model. The record is from RNAcentral. Lineage: Bacteria; Pseudomonadati; Thermodesulfobacteriota; Desulfobulbia; Desulfobulbales; Desulfobulbaceae.
GGAAUUGACGGGGCCCGCACAAGCGUGGAGUAUGUGGUUUAAUUCGAUGCAACGCGAAGAACCUUACCUGGUCUUGACAUCCCGGAGACCCUUAGGAAACUAGGGGGUGCUUCCAUCUGGAAGAAUCUGGAGACAGGUGCUGCAUGGCUGUCGUCAGCUCGUGUCGUGAGAUGUUGGGUUAAGUCCCGCAACGAGCGCAACCCUUGCCUUUAGUUGCCAGCAGUUCGGCUGGGCACUCUAAAGGGACUGCCGGUGUUAAACCGGAGGAAGGUGGGGAUGACGUCAAGUCCUCAUGGCCUUUAUGACCAGGGCUACACACGUACUACAAUGGCCGAUACAAAGGGCAGCGACACUGCGAGGUGAAGCCAAUCCCGUAAAAUCGGUCUCAGUCCGGAUUGGAGUCUGCAACUCGACUCCAUGAAGUUGGAAUCGCUAGUAAUCGUGGAUCAGCAUGCCACGGUGAAUACGUUCCCGGGCCUU